UAAAUUCAACAGAAUGUAUAGGUAAAAGGAAGAAGCAGAUGCAAAAAAAAAAAAAAGUGGUCACAAAAAUACAACAUAAACAAAACAAAGUGACAAUAACACAAAUGACAGUUUCCCUCCACCUCUGGAGAUGCCCUUCCCACAGUCCCAACAAGCCCCCUCACAGCUUCAGUCAGGCCUGACACUUUCAAUACUGGUCUCUGCUACUACAGAUUCUUGACAAGAGCUGUGUCAACAGGAAAGUCUCUUUCUUUCAAGCCUCUGUGUCUUCUCCCCAGCUUCUUCUGUAGCCUUCUUUUUUCCACUUUUCUUCUGCUCUCCCUCACCAACACAUAGCUCCAGCAACAGUUCUACUGCUCCUCCCGGUUACCUAGGUAACCUGCCUUCCCACUGCCUUCUCCUAGACACUGCAUGCUAGGUUACAGAAUUAAAAGGGCAGUAUUAUGCGCUGCAGCAUAUUUGGGAGGACAUCUAUGCUUUAUAUGCCAUUUGGAGGCUUCAUACGACAUGUUUGUCUCCAUCAAAAAACACCCACCAUGUUCAGCAUUCAUAGCACUGAUAUGGGACAUGGAAUCAGGGUGAUGGCUGUAGAGAAAACUGAUCUUACCAAGAGAGAACAUGGUGUCAGAAGUUGGGGCCACUUUCUACUGUCUCUGGAGUGGCAGAAGAGAAGCAAAAAGAAAACAAACCCAGACCGCUUCUGCUGAACUGAGGCAGAAGUUCCUUCCACCAGAAGUCUUUGAUUUUAGUAGGCCUGCAGGAUGGCAUGACUGGAAGCGCAGUUCUCCUGUUACACGAUGCUACAAAGCUGCAUGCAGAACAAAAAGAAAUCCACGUCUGUGCUCUUAUUUAUGUGAUGGGUCCGCAAGCAGAACAGAAUUUUUUAUGUCCUUUACCUUUUCUGCUGCUGGGAUAGGGAUAACUAUCUCAUAGUCCUGGUACAAUUUGAUCAAUAUUUUGUCCCAAAGAGGAACCUUUUUCAUGAGAGGGCCUGCUUCCACCAUAGGACUCAGAAACCUGGGGAAUCAGCUGAGGCCUCCAUGAGAUGUCUGCAAGAAAAUGCUGAUGACUGUGAGUCUGGGAACAGCAAAAAUGAAACUAUUAAGGAUAGACUAGUUGUGGGCAUUUUGUAUAAAGACUUAUCUCAGAAGCUGCAGAUGGAAAGCAACCUAACCCCAGAAGGGGCUGUGCAGAUUAUAAGGAAUUCAGAUCUGAUCAAGGGCCAAGUUCAAGAUCAGGGAGCUUUAUUGGGGCCUCAGGAAAUUGCUAAGGAGCUCUGGAGGUCAAAAUACUCCUGUGAGGGGAAGAAAGUGAAACAGCCAGCUCAGCCAAACGAUGCCCCAAGGCAAAACCAACCUACCCCAAAACAGAGGAAAGCUCCUAAUUGCACGUGGUGUGAUAAAGUGUCCAGAAAAUACUGCAGUAUCCCAUAAAUGUGGGAAGAUGGGUCAUUUUGUUCUUGCCUGUCAUUCUCGAGGAGUAGGAAAGUCGGAAAGCAAAAUAAUCCAGAUGAAAACUUCCUUUUGGGACUAAUUGCCUGCUUAGAUGGCUCUACUACCCAUGUGAGGUGCAGCUGCAAAUUAAUGGUGUCCCAGUGAAACUCAAAAUUGAUACAGGUGCUGAUGUAAGCGUGAUCUCAGAAUUUGUCUAUGGGAGGUUUUGAAACCCACCUCAUCUCCAACGGACACCCGCAUGCAGGGGCAGAUUGAGCUUUUUGCUGCCCAUAGGUGGCUUUGCCACCCCUCUCUGGAGAUGGUGGUGGCCACAGAGGCUGUUGAGGGGGGCGGCAGCUGUGAGGGUAAAGCAGGUGCUGACCUGACUGGCCAGCUGUGAUCCAAAGAAAGGCAGUAAAAUGGGUGAAACACUGGAUUAUCUAGUUGCCCUUUCAUGACUACCAGAAACCUCACCAACCUCCAAUAGUACUGGGGAAUGAUGUUGUUGCUAGCUGAAACUCUAGUCAAAUUGUUCUGACUUCCUAUAUUUAUAUUGCCAUGUGCAUUUUGGGUACCACUUUGGGUAUCCUUAUUAUGCACAUGUCAUAAUUGUGACAUGUUGUGCUGUAGUGCUUUUGUUGAUGCAUGUCUGAAUUUUCAAUAGAUAUCAAACACUUGCUUUUCCAUAUCUUGAGAUCCUCAGAAAAGACCAACCUACUGCCAUUUUGUUAUACCUGAAGCUAGCAGGGGAGAGAAUGAAACAGUUUGUGGGGGGAGGGAGACAGGGGCUGAAAUUUUAUGCUGUGCAUCCAUUCCAAAGAGGAGGGGUGAUUUUUUUUUAAUUUCCGCUUCCCUUUGAAGCCUAUUGUGCCUCUCAGAAAUAUGUCCCUGAAGGUUAUUCAAAAAUCAUCCCUCUUCUGUAGCAUGUGCACAGCAUUAAUCAGGAUGUCAGUCGAUAUAUUAGGACUGCAGUUGUGAAGGCUUAUUUUAAUAUGUUGGGUAAACUUCUCUGUUUGCCUAAGAUCAUCAUCAUUAUCAUCAUCAUUAAUAAAACUUUUAUACCGCCCUUCCAAAAGGCUCAGGUCAGAUUACAUAAAGAACAGUUACUGUCAGGUUUUGUUAGGUCUAGUUCAUUUUGACAUCUUUAUAAUACCAAAUGUGCUAGCUGUCAGAAUAUUCUCUUUCCCAAAUCUGCUGGCCCAAUUAAUAGUAAAAAUCUGGAGUCUUCUGACAGAAAUGCUACCUCUUCCUCUCUGUAUAUUCUAGCUUAAAAGAUGUUUGAGCUCGAUAAUUAGAGCAGAAAUGUAAGGAUUGUAUAGACCCACUAUAAUACAGAUGUUCAGUGUUACAACUGGUGGCAUAACAACCAGUAAUUUGGGUACAACAGUGCCUGAAUAGAAGAAUUCAAAAUGUGAUCCCAUUAUAAGGGUUGUUUUUUUAUUUUAAGCUGACCUUUUUUGGUGGAAUUGUAUAUUUUAUGUGAUUCAGUUUCUAUUAAGAUGUGCUAAGUAGAAUAUUUUUUUUCUGG
Long non-coding RNA from Hemicordylus capensis (graceful crag lizard), 2961 nucleotides. RefSeq lists it as uncharacterized. The transcript is spliced from 2 exons. Lineage: Eukaryota; Metazoa; Chordata; Lepidosauria; Squamata; Cordylidae. The record is from RefSeq and is a predicted model, not a curated record.